Coffea eugenioides is the source of this 1487-nucleotide RNA transcript. It is a transcript of the gene named ruBisCO large subunit-binding protein subunit alpha-like, with no coding region annotated. The record is from RefSeq and is a predicted model, not a curated record. The transcript has 5 exons. NCBI's taxonomy places the organism in Eukaryota, Viridiplantae, Streptophyta, Magnoliopsida, Gentianales, Rubiaceae.
CUUCUUCGGCAGUGAUAACAGACCAUCUCCAGCGACAUCUCGUCAGCAAACAAAUCCCUUCUUCGCCGGCAUUGGGGUAUUUCCAGGAAUUUUGUCAAGACUCGCACCCCUACCCAAGUUGCCAGCCACGCCCAGAAGUACUACCUCCGCAAAAGAAUCUCAAUCGCCGUCGCCGCUGAUCCAGCCUCUUUGACCUCACCCCUGACUCGGUCACUGGUGUGCCAAUGGAAGAGGGAGACGGUCAUCUAGAUGAAACAGCGAAGCCAGCCCUCUCUGCAACCUCAAUGCCUCCCAACGAAAACUUUUUCUUACAAUCUGGUAAUGUAGGGUAGUGUUUUUCUUACAAUCUGGUGAGACCAUUUGUAAAGCUGAAGAACUUCUGUGGAAGGCCACGAUUCCAAAUUAACAUUUUUCCCAAUCGCAUAAUACCAUGAAAGUUUUGCCUGCUCAAACUGUUGCUGCCCAAGAGCUAGAAUGCCUUCAUAGAAAUUUGGCUUGAUAAGAAGUGCUUCUUCAUAUUUCUUACCAGCUGUGGAGUAUUCCUUUUGUGCCCAACCAUAUGCAUUUUUCACCUGCUCUAACACAGACUCCCUUGAAGCAUCUUCAGUGCGUUUUAAAGAUUGGCAGGUGCCUGCCCUUCCUAAUAGUCGAGAUUCGUUUCUUUGUUCAAGCCCUGAGGGCAACUGAGCUCCCAAGGUGGUUAAUGAUGGUGUGACUAUUGCUCGAGCUAUUGAGUUGCCUAAUGCUAUGGAAAAUGCUGGUGCUCAAUUGAUUAGGGAGGUUGCAAGCAAGACGAAUGAUUCUGCUGGUGAUGGAACAACUACUGCAUCACUUCUUGCUCGCGAAAUUAUUAAGCUUGGCUUGCUGAGUGUUACUUCUGGUGCCAAUCCAGUUUCUGUGAAGAAAGGCAUUGAUAAAACUGUACAAGGUUUGAUUGAUUAGCUAGAGAAAAAGGCCAGGCCAAUUAAAGGUCGUGAAGAUGUCAAAGCCAUUGCUACUAUCUCUGCUGGAAAUGAUGAAACUAUUGGAAUCAUGGUUGCUGAUGCAAUUGACAAGAUUGGACCUGAUGGUGUCUUGUCCAUUGAGUCAUCCUCUUCCUUUGAGACUACAGUCAAUGUGGAGGAAGGAAUGGAGAUUGAUGGGGGAUGCAUCUCUCCACAAUUUGUUGCCAAUCCUGAGAAACUAAUUGUUGAGUUUGAGAAUGCACGGGCAUUGGUCACAGAUCAGAAGAUCUCUGCUGUUAAGGACAUAAUCUUCAGUGCUAUUAAUGAUGUAAUCAUGAUUUACUACCUGGGCAACUGAUAUUUUUGGGACCAUUUUCCAUUUGAAGAUGUGAUUUUCGUUUUUGUUGAGCAAUAUUUUAUAUUUUGGCAUAUAUUUGCCUCUGUAUGUAUUGAAUUGUUCCAGAUUUUUGAUCCAACUGAGGCCGACAACAUUUAAAGCAGGGAUUUGAGUCACUCUAGGCUUGAUUAGGGUGCUUUUAUGUA